This 250-nucleotide ribosomal RNA is filed under the name uncultured bacterium. RNAcentral describes it as "partial 16S ribosomal RNA". It matches the Rfam family "Bacterial small subunit ribosomal RNA", at positions 355 to 597 of the family's 1533-position model. The record is from RNAcentral.
UGGGGAAUAUUGGACAAUGGGCGAAAGCCUGAUCCAGCCAUGCCGCGUGUGUGAAGAAGGCCUUAGGGUUGUAAAGCACUUUAAGCGAGGAGGAAGGUUCGUCACCUAAUACGUGGCGGAAUUGACGUUACUCGCAGAAUAAGCACCGGCUAACUCUGUGCCAGCAGCCGCGGUAAUACAGAGGGUGCAAGCGUUAAUCGGAAUUACUGGGCGUAAAGCGCGCGUAGGCGGUUGUGUAAGUUGGAUGUGA